GAGAGUUAAACAGUACGUGAAAUUGUUGAAAGGGAAACGAUUGAAGUCAGUCGUGCUGGCGCGAAAUCAACCCUCUCGUUGAGAGGUCACAUGGCGUGGCGAGCCUCAAAACCGUCACGAAGCGUGAACUCUUGGCGAAAAGGAGCACUUUCGUGUCCGCUGGUUAACAUCAAUUUCGAACGUCAUAAAAAGGCUGGAGGGAUGUGGCUCCUUCGGGAGUGUUAUAACCUUUAGCGGAAUGUGGUGUUCGGGAUUGAGGAUUGCAACGAAUACCUUUAGGGCUGUUCCACCUGGCUUCUCUUUGGUAUCCUGGUGACGACAGCUUGCUGACGUUGUUAGGAUUCGCCUUUGAACAGGCUAGAGUGUGAGCAAAUUCGUUAAGGAUGUUAACGUAAUGGCUUUAAACGA
This 408-nucleotide ribosomal RNA is filed under the name uncultured Entrophospora. RNAcentral describes it as "uncultured Claroideoglomus partial 28S ribosomal RNA". Lineage: Eukaryota; Fungi; Glomeromycota; Glomeromycetes; Entrophosporales; Entrophosporaceae. The record is from RNAcentral.